RNAcentral lists this microRNA (25 nucleotides) under Eptesicus fuscus (big brown bat). Its description in RNAcentral is "efu-miR-99a". Its record names the gene efu-miR-99a. The record is from miRBase by way of RNAcentral. Lineage: Eukaryota; Metazoa; Chordata; Mammalia; Chiroptera; Vespertilionidae.
AAACCCGUAGAUCCGAUCUUGUGGU